This 659-nucleotide ribosomal RNA is filed under the name Brucella lupini. RNAcentral's name for it is "bacterial SSU rRNA". It matches the Rfam family "Bacterial small subunit ribosomal RNA", at positions 19 to 726 of the family's 1533-position model. The record is from RNAcentral. Lineage: Bacteria; Pseudomonadati; Pseudomonadota; Alphaproteobacteria; Hyphomicrobiales; Brucellaceae.
AUGGCUCAGAACGAACGCUGGCGGCAGGCUUAACACAUGCAAGUCGAGCGCCCCGCAAGGGGAGCGGCAGACGGGUGAGUAACGCGUGGGAAUCUACCUUUUGCUACGGAAUAACUCAGGGAAACUUGUGCUAAUACCGUAUGUGCCCUUCGGGGGAAAGAUUUAUCGGCAAAGGAUGAGCCCGCGUUGGAUUAGCUAGUUGGUGAGGUAAAGGCUCACCAAGGCGACGAUCCAUAGCUGGUCUGAGAGGAUGAUCAGCCACACUGGGACUGAGACACGGCCCAGACUCCUACGGGAGGCAGCAGUGGGGAAUAUUGGACAAUGGGCGCAAGCCUGAUCCAGCCAUGCCGCGUGAGUGAUGAAGGUCUUAGGAUUGUAAAGCUCUUUCACCGGUGAAGAUAAUGACGGUAACCGGAGAAGAAGCCCCGGCUAACUUCGUGCCAGCAGCCGCGGUAAUACGAAGGGGGCUAGCGUUGUUCGGAUUUACUGGGCGUAAAGCGCACGUAGGCGGACUUUUAAGUCAGGGGUGAAAUCCCGGGGCUCAACCCCGGAACUGCCUUUGAUACUGGAAGUCUUGAGUAUGGUAGAGGUGAGUGGAAUUCCGAGUGUAGAGGUGAAAUUCGUAGAUAUUCGGAGGAACACCAGUGGCGAAGGCGGCU